RNAcentral lists this ribosomal RNA (429 nucleotides) under uncultured bacterium. RNAcentral describes it as "bacterial SSU rRNA". It matches the Rfam family "Bacterial small subunit ribosomal RNA", at positions 340 to 786 of the family's 1533-position model. The record is from RNAcentral.
UACGGAAGGCAGCAGUGGGGAAUCUUGCGCAAUGGGCGAAAGCCUGACGCAGCCAUGCCGCGUGAAUGAUGAAGGUCUUAGGAUUGUAAAAUUCUUUCACCGGGGACGAUAAUGACGGUACCCGGAGAAGAAGCCCCGGCUAACUUCGUGCCAGCAGCCGCGGUAAUACGAAGGGGCUAGCGUUGCUCGGAAUUACUGGGCGUAAAGGGCGCGUAGGCGGAUCGUUAAGUCAGAGGUGAAAUCCCAGGGCUCAACCCUGGAACUGCCUUUGAUACUGGCGAUCUUGAGUAUGAGAGAGGUAUGUGGAACUCCGAGUGUAGAGGUGAAAUUCGUAGAUAUUCAGAAGAACACCAGUGGCGAAGGCGACAUACUGGCUCAUUACUGACGCUGAGGCGCGAAAGCGUGGGGAGCAAACAGGGAUUAGAUACC